Zophobas morio is the source of this 3123-nucleotide long non-coding RNA. RefSeq lists it as uncharacterized. NCBI's taxonomy places the organism in Eukaryota, Metazoa, Arthropoda, Insecta, Coleoptera, Tenebrionidae. The record is from RefSeq and is a predicted model, not a curated record. The transcript has 18 exons.
GACAACGAUCAAACGCAUUUUAAACUUUCUUGAUGCUAAGAUAUUAGCAGGUUUUCGAACUUUUAGCGGAAUGGCUAUGGUUAACUGUGAAGUAAAAAUAAUUGAGGGGGCGGCUCUUUCAUUGCUCUUUCCUCGCUAAAAAUUUUGUAUGCACUAUCGUUUAACAUUUCUGUUUAGUGACGCCUCUCAUAAAGGGAAGAUUUUUAAAAAAAAAUUGGAGCGGACAACUCUACCACUUUAGAUGAAAAAACUUUUAAGGGACUUGACAACUUAUAUAGUUUUGAUCUCGUUACGGGUGUUCGGGCGUGGAGGCCAAAUUUUUAUUGAGAUUUGGAUAAUAAUUCCAUAAGUCGAAUUGUUCCUAAUGUAUUCAGCAUAAUGACGAUCUUGUCUGGUUGUAAGUGUAACCUUACAAAGCAGAUGACCUUCUUGGUCGUAUAUAUAUUUUAAUAUUUACUUCAAGUCUUUUAUUUCUGUUAACAAACUGAGUUCAAUCCGCCCUAAACUUUUCAGCAAACUUACUAAAUUGGAGGUUUUGCAAGUUUAACAAUAUUAACAGUUUUAGUUCCCUUCGUAUCUGAAUUUAUAAAAAAGGUUUCACUAUUAUCAGAUGAUAAAAGUUUUCACAAUGUAUGAAAGAUCGAUGGCUGACUUAACUUUUAUAUUUGGUGGUAUAACUUUAUAAUACACUUGCGACGCCGUGAAAAAGUUAGUAAUACUAGUGCAACACUAACUUAGCCCGGUCGUUUCUAUAGUUAAGACCGAGAAUAAUUAGACUUAAGCUUUAAUAGCGAGGGGUUAUAACGAUAGCGACCAUGGUGAGGUGUAUCAGUAAGUCCACACUACUGUGUACUGAACUUAUUCGAAUGUUCUUGUACAUUUUUUACUAUUAAAGUUUUUCCAUUUAUAUUAUAAUUAUGUGCGCAACGUCUCUAAAGAAAGCUUUCUGGAGAUGAAUUAAGCUUCAUUAUCCCCGGAAGCUUCCGUUGUAUACCCCUUUUGGCAUUGUAAGUUUUCUUACUAGAUGCUCAAUGUAUGGCUUCGUAGGCAAAUAUGCCUCCUUAGACUGGUGAAGUAUAGUAGAACCUUAUCAAAAGAAAGUAAUCAAAUUUUUGGUGUUAAGAGUAUUUUCAAAUAUGCAAGGAAUAGAGCAUACCUCUCCCGUCACACUUUCUUUUUGUCGUAGAGUCACCUUAUUGCUUAUUGCUUGGGUUGUUCAAGCGUGAUUACUCCAGAAACGUUUUCUCAGACGACCGCAGCUAUGUAAUACGUGUUCAGGAUUUUAAAUUUCUUUGUUAAAGUCUUUGAGUUCUAUCUGAAACGGGUUAAGUUACCUAGUCCCUGGAGUUUUUAACAACUUAGCUCAACUGAAUUUGUUGUAAAUUUUAUAAUGGUCUUGAGGGGGUGCUUAUAUUAUUAUUGCCGAUAAAAAUAUUAAUAAGUGUAAUAGUAUAUGAAUCUGCUAUUUAAAGCGACCUUUUGUUUAAUAACAAUAAGGAAUUUAUCUAUGAAUUUGUUGAGUCCAGUUGCUUUUCAAGCCUUUGAUGGUUUAGAGUCACACUUUUGAACUUGUCUAGAUGUUCCAUUAGCUUUUUACCUCCAGGAAUUCAGCAAUAUAUUUUGUGAGAUGGAGCUCUAAAUGGGAAUAAUAUAAUCUCUAUUGCUCCCAGCACAUUCGCAAGGAAGAGUAAUCUACGUUUUUAACGGUUAAGAGGUAAUCGUAUUACUUGCUUAAUCCAGGAGACGUUUGCUCCAAAACUUUUGGGCUUGUAAAUGCGAAAUAUUCUAAAUGUGGAUCCGCAUUUCCAAUGCUGCUGUUUUUUAAAUCUUCGUAAUAAAUGAAACAUCCGAUCUGGAAUGCCGUUCGAGUGCAAGCAUCGAGGACGUGAUAUGUCUAACUCGAACUUUGACUGGAAUGACUGCCGUCAGCAAACAGAAGACGCACAUAUAUUGAAGAGAUUUCGGGUAAAGGCGAACAUUACCACUAAAAAUAGUAUGCUUUAAUUUUGGCCCUACGUGCUCCAAGCAGAAAGAUUCAAAGCUGUUCGAGAGCGGCCUAUUUCUAGUGCCGAAGCAGAAGAAGAAGUAAAGUACGAAAAGCAACCGGAUGUUAAGCGCGAGAAAAGUUUUGUAAUGGAAAGGGCAUUACAGGGAGAGCCGGCGGAUAACAAAGUUGCAGCAGAUAACGAUUCAACGAAUGCUAUGAAAGGGACUGUAAAACACCGUCAGUCAAAGUAAGAACUUAAAUGAAUCGAAAACAACACAUAAACCAAGUAAAGCAAGUAAAAAAAAUAUGACAGAAAAGUCUAAUGCCAAGGUUACCAAGGAGCAACCUGCUGGUAGGGUAAGCGAAGUCUCCCAGUUUUCAUUUUAUGGCCUUCAUUCGUUAUAUUCUACAGUAUACAACCCGGGGGGUAAUGGGAAUAGUAGUCGUCUUUGUUAUUACUGCAUUUUUAUGGUGCCUCAUAGCGGUGGCGUUACCACCAAAUUUAGCAGGCGCGAGGAAUUGCGUGAACUGGAAACUGCAUUUGACUUAAACUUUGACCUUUGGGCUUAGUUAUAUAAAAUUCCUUUGCUAAAAGUCAGUGUAACAGGUUAGAUAUGUAGAGCCAUCACACCGGGAUUGGGAGUUCUCGUCUUAGCUCAGCGUAAAAAGAAUUGAGGAAGGGGCAACCCUCUUUUAACGAGCCGUCGGAUCUUUUAUGAUUGGUUCCUUGAGUCGUAAGCUUAACCGCCUGCUGUUAAUACUAAAGUUUUAAACCACUGUUCUAAGUAUAUCAUGUAUAAAAGUAUUUGAAUUUAAAAUAUAUUUCGGCACUACGUUCUUUAAUGCCCUCGCUGGUUAUUAGUUUAACCGUUUAGUAGAAGGGGGAGGGUAUAUUACUAACAUCUUUUUUUAGACACAGAGCUGCCUUUCUAUCUAAUCUCAACUUCUUGGCUAGAAAAACUUUCUGUUGCUCAUUUUUUUCCUCUCCUACAUUUGACUCCAUGGCGACUAAGCUGAAAACGCCAAGGAUAAUCUACAGCUUCGAGAACUGGAUAUUUAUAUACCGACAUAACAAGGGAUAAUUUCACAUUUGUUGUAACAUUCAAAAGACAAGAAAUAAAAAAUUACAAACUUUA